Molecule: ribosomal RNA, 440 nt
Filed under: uncultured bacterium
Lineage: Bacteria
Description: partial 16S ribosomal RNA
Rfam family: Bacterial small subunit ribosomal RNA
Source: RNAcentral
CCUACGGGAGGCAGCAGUGGGGGAUAUUGCACAAUGGGGGGAACCCUGAUGCAGCGACGCCGCGUGGGUGAAGAAGCGCCUCGGCGCGUAAAGCCCUGUCAGCAGGGAAGAAAAUGACGGUACCUGAAGAAGAAGCCCCGGCUAACUACGUGCCAGGAGCCGCGGUAAUACGUAGGGGGCAAGCGUUAUCCGGAUUUACUGGGUGUAAAGGGGGCGCAGACGGCGAUGCAAGCCAGGAGUGAAAGCCCGGGGGCCAACCCCGGGACUGCUCUUGGAACUGCUUGGCUGGAGUGCAGGAGGGGCAGGCGGAAUUCCUGGUGUAGCGGUGAAAUGCGUAGAUAUCAGGAGGAACACCGGUGGCGAAGGUGGCCUGCUGGACUGCAACUGACGUUGAGGCCCGAAAGCGUGGGGAGCAAACAGGAUUAGAUACCCUGGUAGUC